UCAUCAUACACUGCACAAUAACCAAUUCAGAAACAACAGCUCAUCAUACACUGUACAAUAACCAAUUCAGAAACAACAUCUCACCAUACACUGCACAAUAACCAAUUCAGAACAGCUCACCAAAAACUGUACAAUUACCAAUUCAGAAACAACAGCACAUCAUACACUGUACAAUAACCAAUUCAGAAACAUCUCAUCAUACACUGUACAAUAACCAAUUCAGAACAGCUCACCAAAAACUCAGUACAAUAACCAAUUCAGAAACAACAGCUCAUCACACACUGCACAUUUAACCAAUUCAGAAACAACAGCUCAUCAUACACUGUACAAUAACCAAUUCAGAACCGCAGCUCAUCAUACACUGCACAAUAACCAAUUCAGAAACAACAGCUCAUCAUACACUGCACAAUAACCAAUUCAGAAACAACAGCUCAUCAUACACUGUACAAUAACCAAUUCAGAAACAACAGCUCAUCAUACACUGCACAAUAACCAAUUCAGAACAGCUCACCAUACACUGUACAAUAACCAAUUCAGAACAGUUCAUCAAAAACUCAGUACAAUAACCAAUUCAGAAACUGCCAUGUAGCCCAAUAAAUCUUAAGUCAUAUUUGAAAAUGGUGAACUACCAUGAGAGCUUUAUUGCAAUCUUUUUGCAAGUUUUCUUAUAUUUGCUGCUCCUAAAAACUUCCUGUGAACAUUCAGUUUACCAUUGUUCCUGCAAACAACAGAUGAUGGACUCUUUCAAUCUUCCUGUGAACGAGCCAAUUUCUAGUGAAUUUACUACAAAGUAGUAGUGGUAAACAUAUGAAAACAAGAACUAUUUUCUCAUGUGAACACAUCUGUUUGCCACAAGUUUGAAGCAGACUUGUUAUAAAUUUGCAGUAUGUAUGUACAACAGUUUGGUUAUGGAGCAGAACUAUAUAGCUUAUAAACUCCAGAGCUAGCUUUCACAAUUAAACAUCUUGGAUUUUUUUUAUUUUGCAAGGUGAAAUAGGACUUAACUGAAUGAACAGAAAGGUCAUUGCUUCAUAGGUAAUUGACAUCUUUUUAUUUAAGAUAUGUGGAAACAAAUUCUUUUUUUUAGUACACAGAAAUUUCUGCAAUUAGCAUGUAGUUUCCAGCUAAAGAACAAGAUUGCUACUCGUAGCCAUGUCCCCCACCGCUGCAAAAAAAGUUGAAGCACAAAAGUCCCAUAACUCCUGUAAAAUUUGUAGAAUCAAAAUGUCGGCACAAUAUGAUCAACUACAUAUGGUGACUAACAAUCCUACAAAAUUUGAAUGAAAUCCGGUGAGCGGUUUCGGAAGAGUUGUGUCCAUAAAGUGUCUCUAUAGUGUAGCAUAUACACAUUCAACAAAGUUUCAUAACUCCUGUAAAAAUUGUCAAAUCAAAAUGACAGCGCAAUAUGAUCAACUACAAAUGGUGACUAACAAUCCUCCAAAAUCUGAAUGAAAUCCGGUGAGCGGUUUCGGAGGAGUUGCGUCCACAAAGUGUUCCUAUAGUGUACUAUGUACAAAUUCAACAAAGUCCAAUAACUCCUAUAAAAUUUGUCAAAUUAAAAUGGUAGCAUAAUAUGAUCAACUACACAUGGUGACUAACAAUCCCACAAAAUAUGAACAAAAUCCAUUGAGCGGUUUCGGAGGAGUUACGUCCACAAAGUGUUCCUAUAGUGUAGCAUGUACAAAUUUAACAAAGUCCCAUAACUCCUGUCAAAAUUGUCGAAUCAAAAUUCCGGCAUAAUAUGAUCAACUACACAUGGUGACUAACAAUCCUACAAAUUAUGAACAAAAUCCGUUGAGCGGUUUCUGAGGAGUUGCGUCCACAAAGUGUUCCUAUAGUGUAGCAUGUACAAAUUCAACAAAGUCCCAUAACUCCUGUCAAAAUAGUUGAAUCAAAAUUCCAGCAUAAUAUGAUCAACUACACAUGGUGACUAACAAUCCUACUUAAUAUGAACAAAAUCUGUUGAGCGGUUUCUGAGGAGUUGCGUCCACAAAGUGAAGUGGGACAGACACCGAUAUUUCUAUGUCCCCUUCCGCAUUGCGGUGGGGGACAAUUAACUGGUUCAUGGGCAUGAAUGAAGUGUCUGGUCAUAAGCAACUAUUAAGACUAGUAACAUUCGUUCCUGAGUGGACAGGCAGAUUGGUGCAGGAUAUAAUCUGCUAUAUUACCCUGAGCAGAUUGCAAGGUCAGGAUCUGAAUGAAGUAAAGCAGCUUAACCUCUUGGAACUCAUAAAUAUUGGUGUUAGGCUGGAUGAAGGCAGAUAACUUACUUAUAUACAAGGACCGGCCUAAUUACCAGGAACUGACACACCCACAAAUCCAAAUCCUCUAGGAUAAAGUAAACAACCACAAAGAGUGAAAAUUUCUCAGGCAAGAUCCCAUGGACAUUUAUUUUUCUCCAAUCAAAGAGUCUUGACCUUAUGAAAACCAAGAGAUCCAUGGGCCUUAUUGGUCACCUGAGAUUCAAGCACACACAACUUUAUUAGAAGUGUUGCACAUUGAUGGUGAGAACAAGCAACCUUUGUGUCAAGGGUGAUUUCUGAUCUCUGUUUAUUACAAUGUUACUCACUUAUAUUUUGUGUGUCAGUGACCAUGACCUCAUCUUAAGUUCAAGGUCAGGAAACACUGCUUCAAUUGUAAGCAAUGUCAAGUGUUAAAUUCUAUUACAAAGCUGUGGCUUGGACAGGCAUUUCAAUUUGCUAGUGUCUUUGAUCUUGGCCAGAUGUCCAUAGUUUCAGUCAAGUAUAAAUUAUCUACUCAUAAAUAACUUUUAAGCCAUGUAUGAAUUUGGGUGUUUCUCUGUAAUAAAAUAUUACCUGUGGUCAGAUAAUUUAAAUUCUUUUGAAUCUUUAGCCCAAUAUUAUGAAUUAGAUGUUCCAAAGAAAAGAGUAAUUAGAACAAAAGAUUCGAUGCAUCUUUAGUUUGUGAAUCAUAUAGCCCCACCUUGGAAUUGGCCCAGAAGUUGUGAGUCUCACCAUUUUGGUAGAGGCCUUCAAGCCCAUACAAUUUACAUUACAAAAGUCAAACUUGAUUUGUUGAUGUUCAUCAGAAAUCUACAUAGCAAGUUUUAUAUCUG
Ostrea edulis (European flat oyster) is the source of this 3076-nucleotide long non-coding RNA. RefSeq lists it as uncharacterized. The transcript is spliced from 3 exons. The record is from RefSeq and is a predicted model, not a curated record. NCBI's taxonomy places the organism in Eukaryota, Metazoa, Mollusca, Bivalvia, Ostreida, Ostreidae.